ACUGCUUUUCUAGACUUCCUAGCAUGGGCUGUUGUGCUGGAGAGAACGAGAGCUACGAAGAGACUACAAUGCCUCUGACUUUUUCAUAGGACAGUUGGCCGAGGAAGACAAACAUAAAGAUGAAGUGCUUAAUUCAAGGUCACACAAUGUCGGGGAUGGACCUCCAGAUUUCCUUACUGACCUGCAUUAUCUUGUGGAUACCUGAGUGAAUUCCACACCACCCAUUUUAUAGAUGAAACCACUGAGACAUGGAGCAACUGACUGAGUAGUCACUGCCCCACCCCUGCCUGGAGCCUCACACAUGACUCGUCUCCUCUCAGUGACCACAGGUUGGUUGAGGGGUUUAACAAGGCUAAGAAGGUGAGACGUGGUCUUGUAACACAGUGGUUAAGAAUGUGACUUUGGAGCCAGCCUGCUAGGGGCUGAAUUCUGACUCAGCCAUUUACUAACUGUGUGACCUUAGGCUGGAGUGCAAUGGCAUGAUCUCGGCUCACCACAAUCUCUGCUUCCUGGGUUCAAGCGAUUCUCCUGCCUCAGCCUCCCAAGUACCUGGGACUACAGGCACUCGCCACCAUG
Molecule: non-coding RNA, 576 nt
Filed under: Pan troglodytes (chimpanzee)
Lineage: Eukaryota; Metazoa; Chordata; Mammalia; Primates; Hominidae
Source: RNAcentral